UACGUAGGGUGCAAGCGUUAAUCGGAAUUACUGGGCGUAAAGCGUGCGCAGGCGGUUUUGUAAGUCUGUCGUGAAAUCCCCGGGCUCAACCUGGGAAUUGCGAUGGAGACUGCAAGGCUAGAAUCUGGCAGAGGGGGGUAGAAUUCCACGUGUGAGCAGUGAAAUGCGUAGAUAUCGAGAGGAACACCUGCGGCGAAGGCGGGUUGCUGGGCUGACACUGACGCUGAAGUGCGAAAGCUAGGGGAGCGAACGGG
This 254-nucleotide ribosomal RNA is filed under the name uncultured bacterium. RNAcentral describes it as "partial 16S ribosomal RNA". It matches the Rfam family "Bacterial small subunit ribosomal RNA", at positions 524 to 776 of the family's 1533-position model. The record is from RNAcentral.